Molecule: long non-coding RNA, 228 nt
Organism: Monomorium pharaonis (pharaoh ant)
Lineage: Eukaryota; Metazoa; Arthropoda; Insecta; Hymenoptera; Formicidae
Exons: 2
Source: RefSeq, a predicted model, not a curated record
AUAAAGCUCGAGAAGUAGAAAAGUCUUGUACUAAUAUAUCAUCUUCGGAUGAUGUUCAAUUAGCUGCUUUGAAUAAUUUGGAGCAAAUAUUGCCUUCAAAACGGCAAAUAAUAAAGAAGAAAUUUUAUGACGAUACAGAUGAUAAUAAGAUUAAACAUCCGAGCAAGAAAUAUAAAAGAAUUCCUACUCCUCCACAUAAUUACAAAGAACAAAACGAAAGUGACGUGU